Molecule: long non-coding RNA, 1034 nt
Organism: Paramormyrops kingsleyae
Lineage: Eukaryota; Metazoa; Chordata; Actinopteri; Osteoglossiformes; Mormyridae
Source: RefSeq, a predicted model, not a curated record
CUCGCAAAACGCCCGCGGGAGUUGCGCGAGCGGCAGCUGAGGCAGCGCAAGCCGGACCUUCGCGCGCUUCAUACCGGCCUUCCCCGCGUUUCUGCAGCAAAAUUAAAAUGUUUCACGGCGUUCAUAGAUAAGACCAAGCUUUUUAAACAACGAAAGAUACUGUUUAAAGUCUCUCCUCUCAUGGGACUAGACUGGCUAGCUAAUUUUAGUCAUAUAGGGCAUAACGAAAUGCCUUGUCGACAAACAAAUGUAGUGAAAUGUUAUGAAGACAAUGAUUGACGCUUUGUUUUCAAGAGAAAACUGUAUGCUACCACAGUGGACAGCAACUCACUGGCAAUGUACAAGGGCAGAAGUGGGGACAGAGAUGACCUUAGCUGGCCAGGCCCAUAGAAAGGGGACACGGCAUCUGUUUGGAAAUCAUCUGCAUGAGAAAGUGGCUUCACAUCACCUGCCAUACAAGCUAGUAAAUACUGUCCCGAGCACGAACAUUGGACAACAUCAGCCGGCUAAUGAAGAGCAAGGGAAAUUCAAUAAAACUCCUCCACCAUACAAAUAAAGCCAUACAUUCCCCUGGACCUGGGAGUGAAACCAAUGUGAGGAAAAAUGACUGCAGCACCAGGAUACGGCACAAAGGAAGCGAAAGAGGCUGAAGGAGGAGAGCGGGCGAGGGAGAGGAAACUGAAAACCAGGCCUGUGUGUCUCUUAUAAAACGGAAGGGAACAUAUUGCUCCAAUGCUUUGCCCAUGUCUGCUUUGCAGUUGGAGCUCAUCAGCCAGACAGGACAGACCUCAAGUAAAUCAGUGCCUGGGUUCUAGGCCCGAUUUCCCCUGGGGUCUCCAGCUUAGGCCCACUCAGAUCAACCCCCUCGCCCCGCUUUCAGAUGGGAAAUCCAAGGAACUCGCCGAAUGUCCUGAGCGGCAAUUGUGUUGGAGGGAAUUAGCACAAUGCUGACUGGCCAAACAACUAGGCUGUCCAGCUACAUUAGAACAGGACCCCACAAAGAGCCUGUGAGAUGCCCACCAUUGUGGAUGAUG